GCCCUAGUGGCAUAAUGGUUAAGCACUUGGUUGCUAACCAAAAGGCUGGUGGUUCAAACCCACCUAGAGGUU
RNAcentral lists this transfer RNA (72 nucleotides) under Loxodonta africana (African savanna elephant). It matches the Rfam family "tRNA". Rfam says of the family: Transfer RNA (tRNA) molecules are approximately 80 nucleotides in length. Their secondary structure includes four short double-helical elements and three loops (D, anti-codon, and T loops). Lineage: Eukaryota; Metazoa; Chordata; Mammalia; Proboscidea; Elephantidae. The record is from Rfam by way of RNAcentral.